ACCGAAGUUGGAGAAAGAAUUCUCAUUUUUUUAAGGACAAGAUAAUACAAAAAGAUCCACCACACAAUGCCAAAGAAGCACAAAGUUUACCUGCAUAGUGCCAAUCAAGCACAAUCAUUGGGAUGGAUGAACUUUUGAGCCAAGACAAGAGGACUUGAACUUGUUUGGUGUUUGGGGUUUGAGGUUGUGACUUUUUUGACAUAUGUCUGAGGCAGGUCUUUUCACAAAUUCUAACAAGCACCUCACUUUGGAUGCCAUCCUGGCUCUAGUAUCCCUGAGAGAAAAGACUUACCCUGGACCUAAGAGGAAGAAGAAUGGAGAAUACCUGGAGAGUCCUGCUGCUGCUGGGCCUGGCUACAGUAGUCUCAGCUACACCUAGAAGGGUGUUCACCUACAAGGAAGCUGCAGUCCUGGCUUCAAGGAAUUUUAAUCGGGGCUCAAAUGAAGGAAGAAAGUAUCGUGUUGUGGAGGCCAGUCUUUCUACUCCUGACUCACCACUCGAGCUGCCAUUGACUUUCAGAAUUAAGGAAACUGAGUGUCCUUCAACCGAACGUCAGGAUCCAGAAACCUGUGCCUUCCGAGAGAAUGGAGCGGAGAAGCAAUGUACAGCAAACUUCACCAAGCUAUCACGUUUUGGGCUCCGUUCCCUCAACUGUGUGGACAUCGUCAAUGACAAUAAUCAGCCGACUCGUUUUUAAAGAGCUUCAUCAAAUGAAUUCAUUGACACCAGCUCUCUUCCACCCCGUAUCAAACAGAUCUUUGACCAGGCCAGAUAUGACCUAAUAUCUAGAAUAUUGAGUAACUUCUGAAGAAAAGAACUAGAGGGGAGCCAAUGAAAUGGAGAACUUUGGUGAACAUAAAAAGCUGUACUUUUAUCCUGAUCCUUCCCUGCUGUGGUUGGAAAUAAACUAAAGUUGCAAUCA
Molecule: long non-coding RNA, 923 nt
Filed under: Monodelphis domestica (gray short-tailed opossum)
Lineage: Eukaryota; Metazoa; Chordata; Mammalia; Didelphimorphia; Didelphidae
Description: lncRNA (ENSMODG00000041385.1)
Source: RNAcentral